Non-coding RNA from Oryctolagus cuniculus (rabbit), 3965 nucleotides. The record is from RefSeq and is a predicted model, not a curated record. NCBI's taxonomy places the organism in Eukaryota, Metazoa, Chordata, Mammalia, Lagomorpha, Leporidae.
CUCAUGAAGUCCGGGAGCCUGCCAACAGCCACAGGCUUCCUCACAGUUCCAACCUCUCUGGACUCCUCAGGCCUGUUCGGGUUUUACUCUCCCAGCCUUGCCCGCUACACGAGAUAUCCUCAAGGGGGCCAUAGCUAUGUCCUAGUGCACUGGGGAAGUUAUUCUAUUAUCUCCCAGUUAUUGUACGGAGUCCUCCAGUGAAUCCAGCAGCACCAGGGUUUGUGGAGGUUUUACCUCCAUCCCCCCGAGAUCAACAAUGCCACUUCACCUUUUCAUUUGUUCAGAAGCGCUUCGCCUUAGUGGACAGGGCUAACGGUGGACUUCUCUCUCUGGCUCAUGUUCACUUCCGCCUCGAUACAGGUCCACCUUGACACGUUGUGGUCUCAGAGCCACAGUUAUUUCUAUGAAAUGCGCUGACCAAAGUGCAGCACAGGGGGCAGCUGUGGCUGCAUAGAAGUGGCCCACCGUCACGUGGCAGUCAGUGUGAAUCCUGCCAUGCAGAUCACCCCGACACCCGCCAGGCUGGAAGCACACGAUGUGGGGAAGACGCGGAGGGAGAAGGGAGAAGUCUCCGUCGACACGCGUGAGCGUUCCUGAGAGAGAAAGCAGAGGCGCCCACAAGCACUUGCUAGAUCUGCUCUUCUUUAAUGCGCGGAUUUUUUUGUGCGCCAUUAUUUUCCCUGUUGGGUACAGGAGGAAAAUAACUGUUCCACAGAGCACUCACAAAAGAGUGGCCGACAGCUACAGCCACAUCGGCUGCGUUUACGCAGAUUUUUCCAGAACCCAUAACUUGAAUGAAAAGAUCUUUUUUUCUUUGCUCCACUUGUGAUGAGAAUAGUUUGUUUGACUCAUACCAAACCAAAUCAAGCAUUUCUGUGGGCACAAAGAGGAAUGUGGAGCAAAGAAAGAUUUUUCUUCCUAAAAAAGAAUGUGUGCGCGGACAACAAAAUUGCUUCAAAUUUCACAGCAUCCUUCCCAUUAAACACUGAAGGCAGAUUCGGGUCAGUCCAAUCGCCUUUGUAGACAUUUGACUUUAAAAAUCACAUAUUCAACUUUUAAAAAUGGAUUUGUGUGAAAUGAUAUAUAGAAAAAAUCGCAUGGUCUAUAAGUCCUGAUGAGUUUCAGCUUAUGUUUAACCUCUGCCUCUUCAUCUUUAAGAGAUGCAAAUUGCCUCCCAGGAACAGGGGAACUGUCUUGUAUGUCCUGUCCUAGUUCCUCUAAAUCAGCCCCUAAAGAGGUUUACAUUAGGAACUGGGCGAGAUGCCGAAAUAAAUGAGUUUCUUCAAAAAAGCUGGCUGCCCCCUAUCUAGGAAAUUAAAAGUCACUGGGAAGAAUUUUUAAAAAGAGAAAUAACAGAUAAGUACAUAGUUCUUGGUUUCUGAGACCAAGCCUCCGAGUACAUUCUAGGAUCUCAAAUGACUUAUCCCAGUAACUCUGCGGCUAAUGUUAAGAGGGAGUGCAAAACUUCCUCCAAAUGACCCACGUAUCCUACUCUUUGACGUGUUCCAAGAUCUCAAGAUCUGUGCCUGGACUCAUGCAAAGAAUGCCAUGCGUUUGCCUUACUCUUGGAGAACGGAGCAUUACAAAUGUGUCUUGUGUGUGAGUGGGUUUGAAGCUGCAAUAAUUCCUUGAACGCAAUCGAGAACUGGCGAUCCUGCAGAGAGGCAGAAAACCUUCUCUGUUCCCUUGACCUUCAAACAAGGAAAACAUUACCUUGCCUGUCUUCCCUCAAGACUUCUGGGAGCACCAAAAAUUGUGGAAAAUCAGCUGGCAGACGCAUAAAGCAACUGGUGAUGCUUCCUGGACCGGCUGCCUUGCUCAGCCUUGCAGAAACGCUUGUGAAGUGUGUGUGUGUUGGGGGGGGGGGCACCAUGAUUAUUCUUGUUUUACAGCUCAGGAAAGCAACACUUGGCAGCACGACCACUUGGCCAACAUGAUGGGACAGAAUUGGUCCAUAAGAGCACCGAGAAGCAACUGAGCGUCUUGAUUCUAACCCCCAGGCUCUGCGUUCCACGUGAACUGCGAAGGCAAGCGCCCUGCAGGUGCAAGGGGGUGCAUCAUCAGACCCCUUUGACCUCACUCCUGACUGCUGAGGCCAAGGUCAGGAAAAGUUGGGAAAACCCCUGGACUUUGCCUAGAACCGUUCAGGGAAAAGCCCCAGAGGAGAACCUAGCACGAUGGAGGUGAUGAAAAAAGUCAGCCCUGGGACAAAGGCUGGUUAGGAGUGGGAAAAAGAGGUGAGGGGCCAGCAGCGGGAGCGAUCAGGACCCGGCAGGGAAGCAGGUGGCCGAAGGCGGAGAGGCUAGGAAGCUGGGAAUGGGGCCAUGGAAGAAGCUGGUGUGGGGAGACCACGAGACAGGCUUGCAGUCGGAGCUCCUCUCUCUACACGAUGCUCAGAUCGUUGGAGGUCCAGGAGUCCCAGCGGCUGUGCUUGUGCCCAGCGUGCUGGAAGCCACCCAGCCCCUUCCCGUCUAACUUGUGGCUUUCAAGCCUCCUGACCGCCCACAGGGACGCCCCUGUGCCCGGGGUGUAGGGUAGGGGCGUGGAGGGGGGGGUCUUCUCCACUGGGCAGAGUGCCCGGGACUGGAACGCUCGUCCUCACUGGCUGACCACGGCAGUGGGGGCGGAGCAGCCCGGCUCCGCCCCCUCGAGAGCCACCCCCUUGCAGGAAGGUGACAAGGCUCAGGGCUCUGGCUGGCUUGAUAAUGCUCCCUUUUCCGCCUGGGUGCCCUCUCUGUUUCCUUUCCUCACUUGCCCAUGCGUGUUUACUUGGUCUCCCAACAAACUCCCUCGUUUGAAUCCGUGUUUCAGGGUCCGUUUCUGGAGGCAGCCACCUGGACACAUGUUGCUGCACAGCUUGGGAACAGCCAUGCCUGUGGGCAGAACGAGGGCCGGGGAGCUACAGACAGGACCGGGAAGGUGAAGGCGUUCUGACGCAUGCGGCGCCACCGUAACUAACAAGUCCGUUUCAAGUCGCGGGUCAGCGCCUGCUGCCCAACAGCGGAGGGGACCCAGGGGACAUGGAUGACAGAGGCAGUGAAGACUGAACAAGGUGGGGUGGGGGUGGGGAGGACAGGCCUGCAGCCCCCUAGCAAGAAGCAUGGGCAGCACCCAGGAGAAGGGGUGGGCCGCUCGGGUCACCCAGAGACUGCAGGACGUGCCCCUGGCCACCGUGACUGAUGCCAGAUGUGCACUGGUGCAGGGAGGAAGUCCUGCUCACUGGAGUCCAGUACGGUCUUGGACAGGGUUGAACGCGCCCUCUCCUGCGGGAUCAGAGAGGACCAAGGUCUUAUCUCAGGUUCCUCACGCAACAGCGUGUUCUAGGAACUGUCACUGGUACUUUUCCACCACCCCUGGCUGCAUCGGAAAAUGACCUAGUGAGGACUUUGAUUCUCAGACUUAACAGGUAUUUUGAGAAGAAUCCCAGGUCCUGUGGAAAUGGGAAAAAUUGGAAUUAAGUCUCAAUUUCCUCCCGAGUGCCAACACCCACGUGGAAGGGCAGGCGGCAGGUCUGAAGACGAGCUAUUUUAGAAAACAAAUAGAAGACUGGGGUUUCUGGGCCAUCCAAGGUAGCUCUCUUCACAAAUAUCACAGAAAUCAGCCUCCCGUGAGCACAAAUUGCCCCGUACGGAGGAAAAACACCAUCCACUUCACCGGAGACCUGGCUGUAAGGUGCAGCGCUUGGCUGUGGGCAAGUGAGGACUCGCGUUUUCAGCUGCUUCUUGGUAAGAGCCUUAGUAAUUGGAAUCAGUUAUUCAAAACAUCGCUAAAUGUGAUUUAAAUGGCAAGGAUUUAAUAACAGAGAAAGAAGCCAUUAAAGGAGUUCAAGCAGGGGAGAAGGGAAUUCCGUUUUUUAGAGCAGAGGGAGAAAAAUAAAGCAAUUACUUGAUGUAAAGGCCAGAACCAGGACUCCUGCUGUCACGGAGAAAUCAAAUCUGUCAGCAAUUAGUGGGGUCUUAGGAGGU